RNAcentral lists this ribosomal RNA (119 nucleotides) under Triticum aestivum (bread wheat). The record is from RNAcentral. Lineage: Eukaryota; Viridiplantae; Streptophyta; Magnoliopsida; Poales; Poaceae.
GGAUGCUAUCAUACCAGCACUAAAGCAUCGGAUCGUAUCAGAACUCCGAAGUUAAGCGUGCUUGGGCGAGAGUAGUACUAGGAUGGGUGACCUACUGGGAAGUCCUCAUUUUGCAUUCC